CUACGGGACGCUGCAGUGGGGAAUAUUGCACAAUGGGCGCAAGCCUGAUGCAGCCAUGCCGCGUGUAUGAAGAAGGCCUUCGGGUUGUAAAGUACUUUCAGCGGGGAGGAAGGGAGUAAAGUUAAUACCUUUGCUCACUGACGUUACCCGCAGAAGAAGCACCGGCUAACUCCGUGCCAGCAGCCGCGGUAAUACGGAGGGUGCAAGCGUUAAUCGGAAUUACUGGGCGUAAAGCGCACGCAGGCGGUUUGUUAAGUCAGAUGUGAAAUCCCCGGGCUCAACCUGGGAACUGCAUCUGAUACUGGCAAGCUUGAGUCGCGUAGAAGGGGGUAGAAUUCCAGGUGUAGCGGUGAAAUGCGUAGAGAUCUGGAGGAAUACCGGUGGCGAAGGCGGCCCCCUGGACGAAGACUGACGCUCAGGUGCGAAAGCGUGGGGAGCAAACAGGAUUAGAUACCCGCGUAGUC
RNAcentral lists this ribosomal RNA (464 nucleotides) under uncultured bacterium. Its description in RNAcentral is "partial 16S ribosomal RNA". It matches the Rfam family "Bacterial small subunit ribosomal RNA", at positions 339 to 795 of the family's 1533-position model. The record is from RNAcentral.